UUAGUACUUCCUCCGUCCAAGAAAGCUUGUCCCUCAAAUGGAUGUAUCUAGCACUAACUUGGUGCUAGAUACAUCCAUUUGAGGGACACACUUUUUCGGACGGAGGGAGUACUUG
Triticum aestivum (bread wheat) is the source of this 115-nucleotide non-coding RNA. NCBI's taxonomy places the organism in Eukaryota, Viridiplantae, Streptophyta, Magnoliopsida, Poales, Poaceae. The record is from Rfam.